AAGAGAGGUCUGGGACACAAAGAACUGCUAAUUCUUUUCACUGUGGUUCAAAUCCACGGCUCACUUA
This 67-nucleotide transfer RNA is filed under the name Squatina nebulosa (clouded angelshark). RNAcentral describes it as "tRNA-Ser". The record is from RNAcentral. Lineage: Eukaryota; Metazoa; Chordata; Chondrichthyes; Squatinidae. RNAcentral also lists the same sequence under 1 other name.